AGAGUUUGAUCCUGGCUCAGGAUGAACGCUAGCGGCAGGCUUAAUACAUGCAAGUCGAGGGGCAGCACAGGUAGCAAUACUGGGUGGCGACCGGCAAACGGGUGCGGAACACGUACGCAACCUUCCUUUAAGUGGGGGAUAGCCCAGGGAAACUUGGAUUAAUACCCCUUAACAUUAUGAGAUGGCAUCAUUUUAUAAUUAAAGCUCCGGCGCUUAAAGAUGGGCGUGCGCCUGAUUAGGUAGUUGGCGGGGUAACAGCCCACCAAGCCUACGAUCAGUAACUGGUGUGAGAGCACGACCAGUCACACGGGCACUGAGACACGGGCCCGACUCCUACGGGAGGCAGCAGUAAGGAAUAUUGGUCAAUGGACGCAAGUCUGAACCAGCCAUGCCGCGUGGAGGAUGACGGCCCUCUGGGUUGUAAACUCCUUUUAUCUGGGAAGAAAUGUAGAUUUUCUAAUCUGUUUGACGGUACCAGAGGAAUAAGCACCGGCUAACUCCGUGCCAGCAGCCGCGGUAAUACGGAGGGUGCAAGCGUUAUCCGGAUUCACUGGGUUUAAAGGGUGCGUAGGUGGAGUGGUAAGUCAGGGUGAAAU
RNAcentral lists this ribosomal RNA (596 nucleotides) under uncultured Bacteroidota bacterium. RNAcentral describes it as "bacterial SSU rRNA". It matches the Rfam family "Bacterial small subunit ribosomal RNA", at positions 8 to 600 of the family's 1533-position model. The record is from RNAcentral. Lineage: Bacteria; Pseudomonadati; Bacteroidota.